CACACUGUGCCUAUAAAAGUACAUCCCCUCUUCUUUACUCAUCUGCUCUGCCUUUCAUUUAGAAGUAAACGGCCAAAACACUUACUUCUUCCUACCAUUGCCUUUCUAUCUUGCCCUAACCUUGCAUAUUGCAUAACCUUCCCAUGGUUUGCCAUUGCCUUUGCUUGGUCCUUAGUAGUUAGGAAGCUCUUCAUUGAUCAUCCAUGGUUACUUUUUUGUUUUGGUGGGAUAUAGUGGGAUACUAGUGGUACAAUUCUCAACAUCUCAACCCAUCAAUCACACCCCCAACUAACAAUCACAGUUUCUUCUUAUCUCCCAUUUCUGUCUAUAUGUUUUGUGGUUUAUUUAUGUAUUUAUUUGAUUGCUUUUGUAGUUCUGAGUUGCUUUUAUUUGAUAUUUUAGGAUCUUGACCUUAGUAAGGCUUAGUUUAAAGGUUGCAAGGCUCGUGAAUGUAGAUACUGCUCUUUCAAGUUAUGUAGUGGUCAAAUUAUGUAAACUACCUGAGCUUAUAUUAAUUAUUUUGGAAAAGAAGCAGCAAUCAGGUAUAGGCGGAAUCGGAAAAUAAGGGCUCGGUGGAUUGUGCUUGGAACUCGACAUGCAUAUGGACUCAGUGAGACUUGUCCUUUAAAAGGGUUAGUUGUCUUUGUGGAUUGUGCCCCAUCCUUUGAGCGCAGUUUUUGAAUGUGCAUGAGAGACAGGAACAAUCCUGUAAUGUAUUGCUAACAGAACGCACUAACUUUCACUAGCGAAAGCAAUAUCGUAAAGCUCCUCUACCAAAAGGUUUAAGGACAAGGCUGCUGUAAUUAGCACCCUCAAAUUUCAGGCACACCAAAGAAUAAGAAAUUGUGCCUUAGGCUGCUACAGCUUUGUCCUCCAACUCCAUGAUCAGAUCCAAGGUCUUGACAAACUUCGCUGGCAUGUCACCUUCACUGGUGCUCAACAUUUGUCCAAAAUUUUCAUCGCCAUCGCCAUCGCCAUCGCCGUCGCUAUGGUGGCUUCUUUGCUGACCUGGCACCUACAUAUUACUCCAUGUAUGCUCCUCUUUUACCACAUACAGUCACCUAAUUAUGUGCCAUGGUCAGGUUAGGAUCUUCUGUUGUGGCAUCAACAGUAGCAGCCGACCAGGGCCGUCAAUGCCGACACGCUCCACUUUGGUGGAAUCUGCAUCGAUCUUUGUAAGAAGACCUGAAAGAAGAGUACAAUAGUGUAAAAAUGAAAUUUUGUCACAUUCCAUUAAAAGAAGAAAUUGAUCAUGUUGUUAGUUGAGGAUUUACUCCAUUAUAUCACUUAUAGUUUUUCUGAUAUGUAGUUAUGUACCAAUCUCUGAGAGGAAUCUUUGUAUGAAUGAAAGAACUGAAAGAAGA
Molecule: long non-coding RNA, 1364 nt
Filed under: Amborella trichopoda
Lineage: Eukaryota; Viridiplantae; Streptophyta; Magnoliopsida; Amborellales; Amborellaceae
Description: long non-coding RNA (ATRI_LNC001535)
Source: RNAcentral